AUCCUCCUGCCUCAGCCUUCCAAGUGGUGGGAUUACAGGCCUGUGCCACCAUGCCCAGCUCUAAAUUUUUAAAGUUGGAUGAAGGUCUCGACUUGAGACAUGCGUUAAAAUUACCUUAGGGUGCUUUUAAAAAUGAUAAACAGCUAAAUCCCCAGCCCCUCAUCAAUAGUUUUCAAGUUCCUAUAUUUCUGACUUACUACUGAAGUAGGGAGCCAUUUAUCAGGUGAGACAGAAGUUUCCUUUGGUGAGGAGGAAGACGUUAGGUGGGUCAUGGUGGAAAGCACACGGCUUUCAGAGCAUUGUUCUAGUGUCCCUGGGUUACCUUCUGGUAAGGAAGUUAAUGAAAGGACGCCUGUAGUUCCUAAGCUUAACUGUAACAGCUGAUAAGGAGAGAGUCCUUAGGCAUUCCAAAGUAAAAAGGAUGUAGAGAGACAUUGAUAAGGUUAGAAGGUGAAAAGGCAAAAUCCCUUGUUCUCUGAGGUAGGACGCAGUGUAUUAAAGAGUUAGCCAAGCUCAGUUUACCAGUUGCUUUUUCAGACUGCCCGUAAAGCUUGGUAUAAGCAUGCAUACGUUUUAUAAGUGGACCGGUGUGAUAGCUAGUGACGGUGAUGGUAUUAAAAUGUGCUCAGUGUGAUUGAAUUAGUUUCAAUUUUAUUUUUAAUUCUUUAGCUAUAUGUACCUACUUUGAGUAGCGUAGUACAAAUAAUAGAAAUUUCUAGGCAAGUGCUUAUACGUGGUUAUACCUCAUAACUUACAUGAACAAAUGUGACAUUGAAGCUGUUGCAUGUCCUUUGUUCACUGUAGUUUCUUAGCCUCUAGCACCUAGAUCCUGGCGGUGAGGGAUUUGCAGGAAUGUCCAUGUUGCCCACACCUUACUGCCUCUUGUGAGAUAAACUUCCGAAGGAGGGAUCUUGGCACUCGGCUCAGGCUCAAAGGUUAUCCUCAAAUGAUGCUAUGCAAACAUUUAAAAUCAUAGGUUCUUAAUAUUUACUGUGAUCAUGUUAGGUAUAGAAGUAAUUACUAUGUUUCAAAGGAUUUGAAAGAGAUCAGGUGUUUCCAAGUCCUCAUGGUAGAGCCAAAAUUUCAACCUGUGUUUUAACUUAGCCAUGGAUUUUGAAUCUUAGAGCAGGAAACUAAGUUCAGAAGUAUUGAGCCUGGGAGAGCGACUGCAUCUCAGCACCUUCUCUCCAAAAUGAGAAGAAACCUUCCCACAGUAUGGAGCUUGGUUGCCCUUCCAAAGUGCGAAGACACAGGCUCUCCUACCCAUGUAACUUAGCUCUUUCUGGGGCACCCAGAUCGCCUAUUUAAAACCAUUUCUUCUGGCUCAGACAAUGUUCUUGGCAAAUAUCUUGCCAAAAAUCACUGUUACGUUCACAAAGUUCUCACCCUGUUCCUUCACACUUGCAUGCUGGCCUAAUGAGCAACCUGUGGUGUCUUUCAAGAGCUCAUAGAAUAUGUGUCUUUCCCCAAGGGACUUUUAAUGAGCACGGAGUUCCAGACCCACAAAAAUAAACCAGUGUAUUUGGAGCAUAAGCCUUACUCCUCAAGUUGGCAGACCCAGGAAUCAAGUUUAAUGGCUCAUCCAUUUGCAGCUUAUUCAUAGGCUAAUAGCAUUACUAGUUCCAUGCAAGCUUACGAAUCUUCCUAAAGGGCUAGGGAUAUAAUUCAAUGGCACAAGCGCCUGCCUGGCAAGUGCAAGGUCCUGAGUUCAAUUCCUGGUGCCAAAAAAAAAAAAGCUUCUUCACGACCAUGGUCCUGUCUGUUCCAAAUAGGUGCAAUAUAGUGUGGGAUACUUGCUCUACACGCAUAGAUGUUUGAGCCCUCUUAGCUCUCCUUGAGGAAAUUAGAGUGAGAGCUUUUAGUGGGGCUAGGUAGUCCACUAGAUAACCAGCUGGGACCAGCUGCCAGUUAGACUUACCCAGGUGUACAAUAUUUGGCUUUCCUAUUUUGGAACUUUCUGGGGUGUUUAUUGCUAAGCCAAACAGUACCCUUUCCUAAAACUUUAUAUUCUUUCCACAAAAGUUGCUUCUCUAGCACCAGCUAAGUCAUACCUAACAGUUUCAGAAGUAGCCAUUGGGGUCAGGUUGCCAAGAAGUUACCUGCUUGUGUACCGCGGUGGUCUCUGUCCUUGUCCCUGGGUGUCCUGGACUGCUGUUAAGCUGUUUUCCUUGUAGGGGUAUCCCAGCUCUGCUCUAAGCACCAGAAAGUAUCUGGUAAAAUCUAGUCACCGGAGAAGUCUACCAGUGUCCUUACUAUUAUGUGCCAUCUCUGGAGACAGCCUUGUGUUACGGUUCAUUCCCUCACUUGGGAAUACAGUUUCCAGCAAUGCGAUUGCCCUAUGACCCCUACAUAGCAUGUGGUAGGGCACAUGGCAGCAGGACGGUGAAGCUUAUGCUGCUUUGUCCUAAGCACCCUCCUGAGCGCAGAGAUCUUGCCUACAAAGUAUUAACCCUGCGACGGAACCUCACUUCUGAGUCAGCAAGCACUCAGCGGCCCUUUUCCCUCCAUCUCUCCAGUCUAGAAACAUCAUCUUGGUGUCAUGAUAGCCUUUACAGGAACUUUUCAUACUCACUCCUUUCUAAAUUCAGUUUUUAUUUUUGCCCCUCUUUUCAGUUUUGGGGGGAGUGUUAUUUGUAAUUCCAUAGCUCCCCUCCUCCCCCUGCAGCUUUAUGGCAAUUCUCAAUUUUCUUAAGGAAUACUUGCACUAAACAGCUUCAGAAUGCUCUGGGCACAAUUUACACGCACUUGUCUUUUCUCCUAAUGCACCAGAAAGCUAAACUUAAUGCCCACUUUUUGAGGGGCAGGCUGCUGGAAAUUAACAGGGGACCUUGUGCUUGCCAGGUAGGGGCUGUGCCGCUGAGCUGUAUUCCGAGUCCUUAAUGCCUGCUUUGAACAAUGAGCGUACUGUAUCUAGCUGGUACAGAUGCAUGUUUAUGAUUGCUGUGAUCUGAGGUAAAGAUGGCACAUUUUACAUGUACUGUUACGGUGUCUCCUGGAUUACCUGUUGCAUCAUUUUAUUUCUGUCCAUGUUCACCUUUGGUCCCCAUCAGUUACCCUCAUCUUGCUCUGGCAUACUGCAGUGGUCUUAUCUGCCCACAUGUACUCAGAUCUCUGUAAUCAUUUGUUCAUACCACAGCCAUAUUGAUCUUUCCAAAGUACAUAUAUCCUGGUAGUUUUUGGCUUAAAACCAUUCUGGCUUCAUUUGCUUUUAGAAGAUAAUGAGACAUCCUAAUUCUGAAAGGCCAAAGGCGGUCUGCCCCUUGCCCAUGUGUCUUCCCUUACCCUGUGCUCCCUCGCUUUCCCUGUUACCACAUUGGACCUCUCUCUGUCCCUCUUCACUCUCAUGCACUCUCCCACCUUUCCCCAUUUAGUUACUAGUUCUAUUCAUCCUAAAGAUUUUAACAUAUGUGGCACUCAUACGAGGAGCCUCCCAUUUUUAAAAAUUACAGCUCUACUUUGUGUGAUUGGUUAUUGUGUUUGUAUUAUAGUUCAGCAGGGACCCCGUCUCUUAGUGCUCGUUAAGGUAUCCCCAGUACUCCCUGUGUCUGGAGAUAGUACAUGUUGGGUGGGUGUGUGGGACGGAGGAGGAGCAAACUGGGGAGGCUGGCCCUGGGCAAGGUGGCCUUGGAAAUGGAAAGCAAGGCCGAGGAAUUAACCUGUGCACCCCUGUGAGCUGGUGCAGAGCACUGUCGCUUCUCAGCUAUGUCACGAGGUUAAUUCUUCAGCCUUGCUUUCUAACCUAGGGCCUGUACAUCUCCAGCCCUUUAUAUUAUUUUCGAGACCACAUUUCAUGCUACAGGCUGACCGGGAAAUCAGAGUGUAGCCCAAGGUGGCCUUGCUGUUAAUCCUUCUGCCUCAUCCCCAGCACUGGGAUUACAGAUGUGCGUCAACCACAUCUACUAUCUCAACCCUUUUUGAGACAGAGUCUUGCUAACUUACCCAAGUUGCCCUCAAGCUUAUGAUCCUUCUGCUCGUCCUCAGCUUUCUCAGGAGCUAGGAUGACAGCUGUGUACCAUAUAUAUAUCUUGGGUAUCUAUAGCUUGAAGAUUUACCAAGAAAAGUGAAUAUGCCCGUUGAAACACUUCUCUGAUAAACAGAACAUGCAAACCUCCCUCAUGCCUCUGUAUUACUUCCGCUACAUUGCCCCUCUGCUGUCACCAUGGGCAGGUCUUGCACAUAUUUGAGCAACAUGUAAAUAGAAGAGUAUUGAUUGCACUGUUAAUGUUUGGGCUAACCCUGAGAGCAGAGCUUGA
Molecule: long non-coding RNA, 4253 nt
Organism: Chinchilla lanigera (long-tailed chinchilla)
Lineage: Eukaryota; Metazoa; Chordata; Mammalia; Rodentia; Chinchillidae
Exons: 2
Source: RefSeq, a predicted model, not a curated record